UCAGCUCACCUGCAGCAGACUCCAGGCUUCUGUGUCCACACAAACUCAAUCUAAACAAAGCACCUGGAAGUACUGGUCACAGUUGUGAGUAGAUCUUUUAUGCUUACGUGGGGAUUUCUGAGCUACAAUUACAUCAAUAAAGCCACAGAAGAAAAGCUAAAACACGAUGGAACAAAAACCUAUCAUGAAAAUGUGUUGUAGACUCUCCUGCAGAAGUGACUGGGUGCCCUGUAAUGCCUGCAAACGGCAUGUCAACAUGUACUCGGCUGCUCCUUUUGUCAAGCCCAAAGAAACAUUACCGGGAAAAGGGAGCUCCGAGAGAUGACGUCACACAGGGUCGUCCCCCUCAAGGCGCCGCCAUAUUGGCAGCAAUCAGACGCCUCACCUCAGCGGCACAGCUUCUCCUUCGGACGCAAACGUUUCAUACAAGCAUCUUGAGAAACGGGAAUAAGUAGGGGAAUACUGUACGCCAUUUUAUCGGAUUGCUAAAGAUGCGGAGUGGCAAGCUAAGUGGAUCAGCGCCAUUAAAAGAACCAGGGGCAAAACAAGACUAAAGAUGGGACCCUCCAGCGGUCUUAUUCCGUUUGUGCAGUGAUUACUUCAUAUCAUGUAUGUUAUUGUAUACAAAGCUUACUUACUUUCAUUGUAUGACAUAAUCAUGGUUUCAGAUUAAAGCUAGUGUAGAACCACAGUUCAUUGCAUUCAAUUUGUGGGGAUAACAGUGUCGUGUGUAAGUUAGGAAGCGCUAACAAAGCAUCCAAAAUGUGGAUGUUGAUUUAUUUUGCAGGAAGAAAGAGCGAUAAUCCAUAGAGUUCAGACUUUAUUCCAUCUAUUUUCAACAACUUCCAUCUCCAGAGAAGAGAAAAAUUAAAACGAAAACCAGACGUGUUAGCCAAACUAAUGUCAACAAACAACACGCUGACCUUUCUGCUAGCCAUGCUAAUGUUAGCUGCCUGAAAUAUAACACUUACCCUUCCAGUGAUGAUGGAGCAAUUUUUUGAUCGAAGAUUCCACAGCUGAAUGUUCACUGCAAACCCAGAUUGACUCCAUCUGUAACACUCCAGGCUUUUGUAAACUUUAGAGUCCGCCGUGUAGGAGAAUGGGAGGUUUAUUAGGUAAUUAUAUGUCUGAAUAGCAUAAAUGUGGAACGUUUAUUUUAGAGGAGAUACCUUUAAAAAACACGGCGGGCACAUUAUUAGGUUGAUAAUAUUUAUGCUUUUUUAAUUUUUUUUUUUAAAUAAAGCUAAAUGUUAUGUGAAUUAAAGUGAGAUAAAUAUUCCGAUGCCUUUAAAGUUUCAGCAGUGGCGCUCACGACGACGCUGCUUACAUUGGUGCCAAAAUGGCUGACUGACUACAGUCACCUGGGGUCCGGAGCUCUAUUGAUUUCCAGGGUAACAUUUUGCUAAAAUAUAUAAAAAAAUGCAAGUGAUUUUGCAUAGGAAGUUUUCUGACGUUAGAACAAAGUAGCAGUCAUAGAUUUAGGAUCAAAUAUCCAUACACCCACAGAUUAAGUCAGUGGUGCUGAGAUUUUGAAACUGUCCUUUAACUUGCUGAGGCCAAGGUCUUUUAACUUUGUGCUGGUGCUCAUCACCGACGGCAGCUGUUCGCCUCUGUGUGCCAGCACAUAAAAGGAUUGUUUGGCAGCACUGGCUGGACUGACCAUCCCAUCACACAGUGGGGAGGUUCUCAGUUCAGCUCAGGUCUGUGCAGAAAGGUUUCCACAAGUUAGAAAGUAUUAUGAAGAACGGCAACAUUUAAAUAAAUAAAAAAAUAAAAAA
Molecule: long non-coding RNA, 1778 nt
Organism: Oryzias melastigma (Indian medaka)
Lineage: Eukaryota; Metazoa; Chordata; Actinopteri; Beloniformes; Adrianichthyidae
Exons: 2
Source: RefSeq, a predicted model, not a curated record